CUCAAAUUUCAAAUAAAUUAUAUCAUCUUCCUCCCUCUUCCUAAAUUAUAUUUUAUAGUCAACUUUUAAAAAAUAAUGAUACUCCUAGAUUUUUUGUAUUGAAAGUGUAUAAGAAGAGUUAUAUGGUUGGUCUCAUACUAUUCCUCAUGAAACUUAGCAUCAAGCCCCAAAAACUGAUUCUCAAUCAGGAUGUAUACUCCAACAUCCAGUUUCUAAAUUUCACUGCUCUUUGAAACGUUUGAAAGCGCUAAUACAAUGUACGUCUUUGAAGCCCUUGAAACUCUUUAAUAUCGGGCAGACUGAUCUAAAAGAGAUUAUUUUUUUUUGAGGAAGUUAGUAUUAAGAUUCGUUCCGUCUUUUUUCAGUCCCUUAAUUUGAUUAUUUCUUCUUGUUAAUUAUUUACAUAACAAUCAGCUCAUCAUUCCAUGGUGCGUCUAAUGGCUCUUUUCCAGGUUCUAUAAUUCGAAAAGGUUUUUUGUCAUUGGUUUUCCAUCCUCUGUAUCGUAAGCCCACUAGCUCAAUUGGGAUGCAAGUUGUCUCUGCCGAGUAUACAUCUCCUGAAUAAAUAACCCAUUCUCCUGAUUCUUCACAUGCUGAGAACCUACUGGAGUUGGAGAAAAAUAACAGAUAUGGACUUUCAGGCUCUCUUCUUUCUUCAACCAGCUCAAUGCUGAAUUUUGACGGUGCAUCACGUUCCAGGAUCAAGCGCUCUCCUUGUACGUAUACUAAACCUCUUUUAUCCUUAACCUUGAAUGUACCAUUAUCGUCAUAACAAACCCUUAAUAGACGACUUUUAGGAUACUCGCCUAGGAAAAGCUUGUCAUCUCUGUAAUGGAUCAAGCUUCCUAUAAUGCUCCAUUAGUAAAGCACCAGUCUAUAAUCACAAACCUUUAAUUCCGAGCUCCAUAUCUACUCCCAAAUGAGCCUUGAAUGACCAAAAUCGCGUAUACAACGUUUGUAAGACAUGAGUUGUAGGAACAUUGAUUUCUCGUUCAAUUAAGACUGCGGAGCUAAUCGAAAUUGGUAGGAAACAAAAAAGUAGUAAAUAACAAAGCUGAGUCGCAUGGAGCAUUUCUAUAGAGCUAUCAUUCAACGAAUCCGCUGAAAAUGGAUAGUU
Molecule: non-coding RNA, 1117 nt
Organism: Schizosaccharomyces pombe (fission yeast)
Lineage: Eukaryota; Fungi; Ascomycota; Schizosaccharomycetes; Schizosaccharomycetales; Schizosaccharomycetaceae
Source: the annotation of a GenBank genome assembly